GCUGGUCUCGAACUCCUGACCUGAAGUGAUCCACCCUCCUCAGCCUCCCAAAGUGCUGGGAUUACAGGUGUGAGCCACGGCGCCCGGCCACAAUUUUCAACAUUUAUUCCACCAUGUCCACCAUGUGCCGAGGUUCUGGGAGGCUCAGGCCCUUGACACAACCAUGUCCCUCAAAGAGACGAGCACAGAACCAGGCAGCCCUCGGACUUCAGACCCCAGAGCCACCAAGUCCCCCACUAACGGUGCCACCCCCUUCCCCUCCUGGCCACGCAGGACGGCCCCAGGGUUGCCCUGUGCUGAUGGUGCCACCUGGUGGUAGACAUGGGAACGCGCUCACUUGAGAUUUCCUCUCCGUGACCCUUUUCCCCCUCUAGGGGUCCGGGGCUGCCCUGAGGCCACCGCCCAGCAAGAUCAGGACAGGCUUGAGCGGCCCUGGGAUAGCGCAGUGAGGGUUCCGGGGGGCUCCGGUGCGGGCAGAACCAGGAAUGUGCCGGCGGGGGCGGUGGGUACGGGGCGCAGGGCGUGGCGGCUGCGGGACCUCAGCUCGCCUGUUUAAAUCCCUUCCUGGGCACCCCGGGGGCCCGGCCGUUUCCCCUCAGGCUGUUUCUUCUGGGACCACCGCACUAUCUCCUCCAGGGCAGCCUCCAGCGGAGCCCGUUAUUGGCCGCCAGGCAAACCAGUCCCAUCCCUCCAGCAACCGGGACUUUCCGGGCAGGGCUCCCCAGCGUGGGUUCAGCCAAUUAAGGAAGCAAUUAGCUUCCCGUGAGCCUAUUCAUGCUUCCUCACCCACAGUUCCAAGGUUCUGUGAGACCAGAGCCCGUCUCCCGUGGGCAGAGGGUGUGUGUGGCUGCCACUAGUCUGCAGACGCUGGCUCCACCCCACAGAGUUGCAAGGCCAGGAAAUGUGCAUUUGAACAGACCCUGGCUCUCACACUUCAGAAACGGCUGGAAGCACCUCUCAAGUCUGACACAGAUUCUCAGCGGCAUUCAGACUUCAGCAGCUUUUGGGCGGUUCCCCGAAGCUCGACAGCAUUUACAAUCCGGUUUCUGAGUGGGAACGGCUUUCUCCAGGAGACGGCUCCUCGGGAACGUAGAGACUUCCUGCAGUCACUGGACUCGAAGGUUGGAGUGCAAUGGCGUGAUCUUGGCUCACUGAAACCUCCACCUCCCCGGUUCCAGC
Long non-coding RNA from Cebus imitator (Panamanian white-faced capuchin), 1179 nucleotides. RefSeq lists it as uncharacterized. The transcript has 3 exons. NCBI's taxonomy places the organism in Eukaryota, Metazoa, Chordata, Mammalia, Primates, Cebidae. The record is from RefSeq and is a predicted model, not a curated record.